GACGAACGCUGGCGGCGUGCUUAACACAUGCAAGUCGAACGGAAAGGCCCUGCUUUUGUGGGGUUCUCGAGUGGCGAACGGGUGAGUAACACGUGAGUAACCUGCCCUUGACUUUGGGAUAACUUCAGGAAACUGGGGUUAAUACCGGAUAGGAUCUCCUGCUGCAUGGUGGGGGUUGGAACGUUUCGGCGGUUGGGGAUGGACUCGCGGCUUAUCAGCUUGUUGGUGGGGUAGUGGCUUACCAAGGCUUUGACGGGUAGCCGGCCUGAGAGGGUGACCGGCCACAUUGGGACUGAGAUACGGCCCAGACUCCUACGGGAGGCAGCAGUGGGGAAUAUUGCACAAUGGGCGGAAGCCUGAUGCAGCAACGCCGCGUGCGGGAUGACGGCCUUCGGGUUGUAAACCGCUUUCGCCUGUGACGAAGCGUGAGUGACGGUAAUGGGUAAAGAAGCACCGGCUAACUACGUG
RNAcentral lists this ribosomal RNA (468 nucleotides) under uncultured bacterium. RNAcentral describes it as "partial 16S ribosomal RNA". It matches the Rfam family "Bacterial small subunit ribosomal RNA", at positions 28 to 507 of the family's 1533-position model. The record is from RNAcentral.